UGGGGUAUAGCUCAGUGGUACAGUAUAUGCUUAGCAUGCAUGAGGUCCUGGUUUCAAUACCCAGUACCUCCU
RNAcentral lists this transfer RNA (72 nucleotides) under Camelus bactrianus (Bactrian camel). It matches the Rfam family "tRNA". From Rfam's summary of the family: Transfer RNA (tRNA) molecules are approximately 80 nucleotides in length. Their secondary structure includes four short double-helical elements and three loops (D, anti-codon, and T loops). The record is from Rfam by way of RNAcentral. Lineage: Eukaryota; Metazoa; Chordata; Mammalia; Artiodactyla; Camelidae. RNAcentral also lists the same sequence under 2 other names.